CACUAAGAAGCUAAAACGGAAAUAGCAGUAGCCUUUUAAGCUGAAGUAUGGUGACCUCCAACCACCCUUAGUGG
Molecule: transfer RNA, 74 nt
Filed under: Trachinus draco (greater weever)
Lineage: Eukaryota; Metazoa; Chordata; Actinopteri; Perciformes; Trachinidae
Also listed under: 1 other name
Description: tRNA-Lys
Rfam family: tRNA
About the family: Transfer RNA (tRNA) molecules are approximately 80 nucleotides in length. Their secondary structure includes four short double-helical elements and three loops (D, anti-codon, and T loops). Further hydrogen bonds mediate the characteristic L-shaped molecular structure. tRNAs have two regions of fundamental functional importance: the anti-codon, which is responsible for specific mRNA codon recognition, and the 3' end, to which the tRNAs corresponding amino acid is attached (by aminoacyl-tRNA synthetases). tRNAs cope with the degeneracy of the genetic code in two manners: having more than one tRNA (with a specific anti-codon) for a particular amino acid; and 'wobble' base-pairing, i.e. permitting non-standard base-pairing at the 3rd anti-codon position.
Source: RNAcentral